RNAcentral lists this non-coding RNA (142 nucleotides) under Neotoma lepida (desert woodrat). RNAcentral's name for it is "Eukaryotic small subunit ribosomal RNA". It matches the Rfam family "Eukaryotic small subunit ribosomal RNA", at positions 1295 to 1453 of the family's 1831-position model. The record is from Rfam by way of RNAcentral. Lineage: Eukaryota; Metazoa; Chordata; Mammalia; Rodentia; Cricetidae.
UAAUUGGUGGAGCAAUUUGUCUGGUUAAUUCCGAUAAUGAACAAGACUCUGACAUGCUAACUAGUUAUGNGACCCCCAAGUGGUCGGCGUCCCCCAACUUCUUAGAGGGACAAGUGGCAUUCAGCUACCUGAGAUUGAGCAA